CCUACGGGUGGCAGCAGUGAGGAAUAUUGGUCAAUGGCCGGAAGUCUGAACCAGCCAAGUCGCGUGCGGGAAGACGGCCCUACGAGUUGUAAACCUCUUUUGUCCAAGGGCAAAGUUCAAUUCGUGACCUCCUCUGAGAGUACCUUACGAAUAAGGAUCGGCUAACUCCGUGCCAGCAGCCGCGGUAAUACGGAGGAUGCAAGCGUUAUCCGGAUUUAUUGGGUUUAAAGGGUGCGUAGAUGGGUUGUUAAGUCAGGUGUGAAAGGUUGCGGCUUAACCGUGAAAUUGCAAUUGAUACUGGUAGUCUUGAGUAUAGUUGAGGUAGGCGGAAUGUAUGGUGUAGCGGUGAAAUGCUUAGAUAUCAUGAAGAACCCCGAUUGCGAAGGCAGCUUACCAAACUGUGACUGACAUUGAGGCUCGAAAGCGUGGGUAGCAAACAGGAUUAGAUACCCUAGUAGUC
Molecule: ribosomal RNA, 460 nt
Filed under: uncultured bacterium
Lineage: Bacteria
Description: partial 16S ribosomal RNA
Rfam family: Bacterial small subunit ribosomal RNA
Source: RNAcentral